This is a non-coding RNA of Salmo salar (Atlantic salmon), 72 nucleotides long. The record is from Rfam. NCBI's taxonomy places the organism in Eukaryota, Metazoa, Chordata, Actinopteri, Salmoniformes, Salmonidae.
GGCAUGGUGGCCAAGUGGUAAGGUGUUGGUCUUGUAAAAAGAAGAUCAUGGGUUCAAAUCCCUUCUGUGCCU